CCUACGGGGGGCAGCAGUGAGGAAUAUUGGUCAAUGGACGAGAGUCUGAACCAGCCAAGUAGCGUGAAGGAUGACUGCCCUAUGGGUUGUAAACUUCUUUUAUAUGGGAAUAAAAUGUUCCACGUGUGGGAUUUUGUAUGUACCAUAUGAAUAAGGAUCGGCUAACUCCGUGCCAGCAGCCGCGGUAAUACGGAGGAUCCGAGCGUUAUCCGGAUUUAUUGGGUUUAAAGGGAGCGUAGGUGGAUUGUUAAGUCAGUUGUGAAAGUUUGCGGCUCAACCGCAAAAUUGCAGUUGAAACUGGCAGUCUUGAGUACAGUAGAGGUGGGCGGAAUUCGUGGUGUAGCGGUGAAAUGCUUAGAUAUCACGAAGAACUCCGAUUGCGAAGGCAGUUCACUGGACUGCAACUGACACUGAGGCUCGAAAGUGUGGGUAUCAAACAGGAUUAGAUACCCGUGUAGUC
Molecule: ribosomal RNA, 460 nt
Filed under: uncultured bacterium
Lineage: Bacteria
Description: partial 16S ribosomal RNA
Rfam family: Bacterial small subunit ribosomal RNA
Source: RNAcentral